UACGAAGGUGGCAAGCGUUGUUCGGAUUUACUGGGCGUACAGGGAGCGUAGGCGGUUGGAUAAGCCCUCCGUGAAAUCUCCAGGCUUAACCUGGAAAGUGCAGAGGGGACUGUUUAGCUAGAGGAUGGGAGAGGAGCGCGGAAUUCCCGGUGUAGCGGUGAAAUGCGUAGAGAUCGGGAGGAAGGCCGGUGGCGAAGGCGGCGCUCUGGAACAUUUCUGACGCUGAGGCUCGAAAGCGUGGGGAGCAAACAGG
Molecule: ribosomal RNA, 253 nt
Filed under: uncultured bacterium
Lineage: Bacteria
Description: partial 16S ribosomal RNA
Rfam family: Bacterial small subunit ribosomal RNA
Source: RNAcentral